UUAAUUCUUGUUUACGAUUCAGACGCAAAGCCUUCUGCAUAAAAGCGGCGCACGAGGCGCCGAAGCACGGAGUUUGCUUCCACUGGUUUGAAGGGUUGAAGGCCCCGAGAGGCCAUUCAGUAAUGAUCCCUCCGCAGGUUCACCUACGGAGA
RNAcentral lists this unclassified non-coding RNA (152 nucleotides) under uncultured fungus. RNAcentral describes it as "sequence contains ITS1". Lineage: Eukaryota; Fungi. The record is from RNAcentral.